This 458-nucleotide ribosomal RNA is filed under the name Clostridiales bacterium canine oral taxon 038. RNAcentral's name for it is "bacterial SSU rRNA". It matches the Rfam family "Bacterial small subunit ribosomal RNA", at positions 9 to 458 of the family's 1533-position model. Lineage: Bacteria; Bacillati; Bacillota; Clostridia; Eubacteriales. The record is from RNAcentral.
GAGUUUGAUUCUGGCUCAGGACGAACGCUGGCGGCGCGCCUAACACAUGCAAGUCGAGCGGAGAUAUGUAAGGAGUAAUCCGAGCGUAUUUUAGCGGCGGACGGGUGAGUAACGCGUGAGUGACCUGCCUCUUACAGGGGGAUAACGUACCGAAAGGUACACUAAUACCGCAUAAGACCACAGAGCCGCAUGGCAGAGGGGUCAAAGGAGCAAUCCGGUAAGAGAUGGGCUCGCGUCCGAUUAGAUAGUUGGUGAGGUAACGGCCCACCAAGUCUGCGAUCGGUAGCCGACCUGAGAGGGUGAACGGCCACAUUGGAACUGAGAGACGGUCCAAACUCCUACGGGAGGCAGCAGUGGGGAAUAUUGGGCAAUGGGGGAAACCCUGACCCAGCGACGCCGCGUGAAGGAAGAAGGCCUUCGGGUUGUAAACUUCUGUUCUUGGUGAAGAGGGGAAGACG